UACGUAGGGGGCAAGCGUUGUCCGGAUUUAUUGGGCGUAAAGAGCGUGUAGGCGGCCAGACAGGUCCGUUGUGAAAACUCGAGGCUCAACCUCGAGAUGUCGAUGGAAACCGUCUGGCUAGAGUCCGGAAGAGGCGAGUGGAAUUCCUGGUGUAGCGGUGAAAUGCGCAGAUAUCAGGAGGAACACCUAUUGCGAAGGCAGCUCGCUGGGACGUUACUGACGCUGAGACGCGAAAGCGUGGGGAGCAAACAGG
RNAcentral lists this ribosomal RNA (253 nucleotides) under uncultured bacterium. RNAcentral describes it as "partial 16S ribosomal RNA". It matches the Rfam family "Bacterial small subunit ribosomal RNA", at positions 524 to 776 of the family's 1533-position model. The record is from RNAcentral.